GAACCAAACCAAGGCGGGCCCACCUGCUGACUGACUGAACCCUGCUAUUCUUGCUCUGUGCGCGUGAGCCUCCCUCUCUGGGGAGGGUAAGGGUAAGGGCAAGGGCAAGGCAAGAUGAUUUGGGGAGGAAGCAGAUGAAGAUCUGAGGGUGGCGGGCGGACGGGCGGACGGGUAGGCAGGCAGGUAUAUAGCGAAGAAGGCGGCGAGGCGAAGGGAAGGUGCGCGUGGUUGGCGGAGGACGAGAAGCUAAGGGGGCUCCGGGGUCGUCGUCGGGUUGGGUCGGGGAAGAAGACGAAGAACAACAACAAAAACCACGCCACGCACUCGUACCGGUAGCUGGUGCUCAGCGGGAAGUUCCUCGAGGCGGAGUUUUUGUCCUCCUAGUACCCUCCGCCGCGGGGACUCGGCCUGCUUCUCCUCCGCCUCGGCGUCCACCGCCGCCGCCGCCGCCUCCUCGUCACCGGCGUCACCGACGCGGGCGACGACAGGCGCGCGAAGAAGCGCGUUACGUUCUGCGUGUGGCUCAGCGUGGCCUCGCCGCUCACGUUGUACAAGACGGAGCUGACGCGGCGGCCCCGGCGGCGGCCCCGCCGCCGCGACACGAGCGACACGGAGCGCGUGCGCGUGGCGCCGGUGGUGUGGUAGGUCUAGGCGGCGAGGAGGAUGGUGCUGCAGUAGGCCCACAGCCUGUAGGUCGCGAAGUACCUGUAGCGGCCGCACGUCUGGAUGCAGUAGUUGUCGCGCGCGCAGCAGAAGGAGUUGCUCGCGGGGGUCGUCUUCGUCGGGCCGUUCCCGCCGCCGCCGCGGCCGUCGCGGUUGGAGACGCUCCAGACGUCGGCGUCGGAGGAGCUGUUGAAGGCGAAGACGAGGGAGCCGACGUUCCAGCGGCCGACGAGGAGGCUGCCCCCGCCGUUGCUGUUCCGCUCCCACUACGCCCGGUUGUCCGGGCCGGCGCGGUUCCCGAGCAGCCUGUGGCUCCGCCGAAGGAGGAGGAGAGGAGACGCGUUACGGCGGUCUGUCUCGAAGUGCGGCAGGUGCGGCGGCGGCGGCGGCGGAGGUCGCCGGUUCGCCGCGUUCCCGUAGGGCGUGGCGCGCGGCAAGCCCUUGGAGUAGUAGCUGAUGAUCCGCGCGUGGUGGGCGGUAACUGUUUCGACGCUAGGCGUGCGGGUCAACGUCUCACUUACCUCACUCUUUCGCCGGUGGUGAAGCCACAGGCGGUAACGGAAGCCAACACGAAGAGCUACACCUAAGGUGGUAAUCGAAAAGUCCCUCUUUCGUCCGUCCCUUCUUUCCCUCCACCUACCUACCUUCGUGUCGACUUUUUCGUGGUCGGAAAAGAAUGACGAAUAUUAGUAGUAGUGAUCCUGUCUUUGGUUUUUAAUGGUGUGGUGUCUCUCUAAUGACAUAUACUAAUACCAGGACGAGAUGAUAAAGAUGGUGUGAUCUGAACUCAAAACACUAUUUACAAAAAUCCAUUAUGGUCCGUUACGCGGUCACCAUUCGAUCGAUCUCAUUAUUCGUUAACGGUGAACAAUUAGUCCAAAACACUAUCGAACACGAAAGAAGUAGACAUUUAUACCUCACGACCCUCUCCUACUGACGAACAAUUCUUUAUACCACAACGAGUUGGAACUUAGAAGAAAGGUAUACCCAGUUA
Molecule: ribosomal RNA, 1657 nt
Filed under: Triticum aestivum (bread wheat)
Lineage: Eukaryota; Viridiplantae; Streptophyta; Magnoliopsida; Poales; Poaceae
Description: partial small subunit ribosomal RNA
Source: RNAcentral